Molecule: long non-coding RNA, 621 nt
Filed under: Phasianus colchicus (ring-necked pheasant)
Lineage: Eukaryota; Metazoa; Chordata; Aves; Galliformes; Phasianidae
Description: lncRNA (ENSPCLG00000020843.1)
Source: RNAcentral
UUACAACAGUUGGAUCAGUCCGGGACUUUGAAUCAUCCAAAAUUUGUUCUGCUUUGAGGCAAACCACCCUCUUAACUGUUUACUUCUUUCUGCUUAAUGCAGUGUCAACUGGGGGACCAGAUCUAUCUUAUUUCCUAGUAGCAAACUGAAAUAGUUUUCUAUGAGAAGUGCUGCAGUUUUUUACUGUACACAUACAAACCUUUGUUAAGAUUAUAAUUGUUUCCUACCAUCAGUGAUUCUUCUUUUUUCUUGUUCUACUUUCUAGCUCUCAGUAUUGUUCUGUGUCUUGGAACUGCAGGUUUUCCACAAAAGAAAAUUUGGUUGUGUCAAGAGAUAAGAAUAAACCUCCUCUUCAAAAAUGCAGAGGAAAAUUACAGCACUUGUGAAAGGGAAAAUUUGGUUAUAAGAGCAAAAUAAACAGAAGAGAAAGACCUACAUCCAUAUGGCUGAUUCAUUCCUGCUGAGUCCACUUGUUGGAUUAGUUGCAAAUAUUUAAGCAUUUACCAUUCAAUAUAAAAACACUACAGAGCUUAACCAUUAUAACCACUGUACCACUCACUAUUUGGAAUUACCUGUGUUACCCUUGCAAUGACAAGAAAUGCCAAUAAAAGAUAAUACAGA